UACGGGGGGGGCAAGCGUUGUUCGGAAUUACUGGGCGUAAAGGGCGCGUAGGCGGCAUGACAAGUCACUUGUGAAAUCUCCGGGCUUAACUCGGAACGGCCAAGUGAAACUGUCAAGCUAGAGUGCAGAAGGGGCAAUCGGAAUUCUUGGUGUAGCGGUGAAAUGCGUAGAUAUCAAGAGGAACACCUGAGGUGAAGACGGGUUGCUGGGCUGACACUGACGCUGAGGCGCGAAAGCCAGGGGAGCAAACGGG
Molecule: ribosomal RNA, 253 nt
Filed under: uncultured bacterium
Lineage: Bacteria
Description: partial 16S ribosomal RNA
Rfam family: Bacterial small subunit ribosomal RNA
Source: RNAcentral